Molecule: ribosomal RNA, 465 nt
Filed under: Vreelandella stevensii
Lineage: Bacteria; Pseudomonadati; Pseudomonadota; Gammaproteobacteria; Oceanospirillales; Halomonadaceae
Description: partial 16S ribosomal RNA
Rfam family: Bacterial small subunit ribosomal RNA
Source: RNAcentral
CCUACGGGUGGCAGCAGUGGGGAAUACUGGACAAUGGGCGAAAGCCUGAUCCAGCCAUGCCGCGUGUGUGAAGAAGGCCUUCGGGUUGUAAAGCACUUUCAGUGGGGAAGAAAGCCUUGGGGCUAAUACCCUCGAGGAAGGACAUCACCCACAGAAGAAGCACCGGCUAACUCCGUGCCAGCAGCCGCGGUAAUACGGAGGGUGCGAGCGUUAAUCGGAAUUACUGGGCGUAAAGCGCGCGUAGGCGGUCUGAUAAGCCGGUUGUGAAAGCCCCGGGCUCAACCUGGGAACGGCAUCCGGAACUGUCAGGCUAGAGUGCAGGAGAGGAAGGUAGAAUUCCCGGUGUAGCGGUGAAAUGCGUAGAGAUCGGGAGGAAUACCAGUGGCGAAGGCGGCCUUCUGGACUGACACUGACGCUGAGGUGCGAAAGCGUGGGUAGCAAACAGGAUUAGAUACCCUUGUAGUC